UACGAAGGGGGCUAGCGUUGCUCGGAAUCACUGGGCGUAAAGCGCGCGUAGGCGGAUCGUUAAGUCGGGGGUGAAAUCCUGGAGCUCAACUCCAGAACUGCCUUUGAUACCGGCGAUCUUGAGUCCGGGAGAGGUGAGUGGAACUCCGAGUGUAGAGGUGAAAUUCGUAGAUAUUCGGAAGAACACCAGUGGCGAAGGCGGCUCACUGGCCCGGUACUGACGCUGAGGUGCGAAAGCGUGGGGAGCAAACAGG
This 253-nucleotide ribosomal RNA is filed under the name uncultured bacterium. RNAcentral describes it as "partial 16S ribosomal RNA". It matches the Rfam family "Bacterial small subunit ribosomal RNA", at positions 524 to 776 of the family's 1533-position model. The record is from RNAcentral.